GAUGAACGCUAGCGGGAUGCCUUACACAUGCAAGUCGAACGGCAGCACGGACUUCGGUCUGGUGGCGAGUGGCGAACGGGUGAGUAAAGUAUCGGAACGUGCCCAGUAGAGGGGGAUAACUACGCGAAAGCGUAGCUAAUACCGCAUACGCCCUGAGGGGGAAAGCGGGGGAUCGCAAGACCUCGCGUUAUUGGAGCGGCCGAUAUCGGAUUAGCUAGUUGGUAGGGUAAAGGCCUACCAAGGCGACGAUCCGUAGCUGGUUUGAGAGGACGACCAGCCACACUGGGACUGAGACACGGCCCAGACUCCUACGGGAGGCAGCAGUGGGGAAUUUUGGACAAUGGGGGCAACCCUGAUCCAGCCAUUUCGCGUGUGCGAUGAAGGCCUUCGGGUUGUAAAGCACUUUUGGCAGGGAAGAAAAGGUUUGGGCUAAUACCCUGAGCCGCUGACGGUACCUACAGAAUAAGCACCGGCUAACUACGUGCCAGCCGCCGCCGUAA
Molecule: ribosomal RNA, 500 nt
Filed under: uncultured bacterium
Lineage: Bacteria
Description: partial 16S ribosomal RNA
Rfam family: Bacterial small subunit ribosomal RNA
Source: RNAcentral